GACGAACGCUGGCGGCGUGCUUAACACAUGCAAGUCGAACGCUGAAGCCCAGCUUGCUGGGUGGAUGAGUGGCGAACGGGUGAGUAACACGUGAGUAACCUGCCCCCUUCUUUGGGAUAACGCCCGGAAACGGGUGCUAAUACUGGAUAUUCACUGAUCUUCGCAUGGGGGUUGGUGGAAAGGUUUUUUCUGGUGGGGGAUGGGCUCGCGGCCUAUCAGCUUGUUGGUGGGGUGAUGGCCUACCAAGGCUUUGACGGGUAGCCGGCCUGAGAGGGUGACCGGUCACAUUGGGACUGAGAUACGGCCCAGACUCCUACGGGAGGCAGCAGUGGGGAAUAUUGCACAAUGGGCGAAAGCCUGAUGCAGCGACGCCGCGUGAGGGAUGACGGCCUUCGGGUUGUAAACCUCUUUCGCUCAUGGUCAAGCCGCAACUGUGGGUUGUGGUGAGGGUAGUGGGUAAAGAAGCGCCGGCUAACUACGCGCCAGCAGCCGCGGUAAUACGUAGGGCGCGAGCGUUGUCCGGAAUUAUUGGGCGUAAAGGGCUUGUAGGCGGUUGGUCGCCUCUGCCGUGAAAUCCCACUAGUUAUUGGCAGCGUCCGUUGGGUAUUCGGCGACUUUCUGGGGUGGGGGGAUGGACUACUCGUGUGCGACCCAACUCCACACAUCUAGAGGAUCAACCGGGGGAAUGGGGGGACUCCGGAGGCCUCAUCCGAGGAAGGAAGCGGGGGUGGAUCAAACUGAGUCAGUGUAAUCAACGUGAAUCUACCUGGUGGUGCGCUCUUCCGGCCGUGCUGGGGGGUUGGUUUUUUUUUUUUGAUUUAGUUCUUUUGUGCCUCUUCCCCUCCCCCCCCCAUAUAGGAUUGAUAUC
Molecule: ribosomal RNA, 868 nt
Filed under: Staphylococcus aureus
Lineage: Bacteria; Bacillati; Bacillota; Bacilli; Caryophanales; Staphylococcaceae
Description: partial 16S ribosomal RNA
Rfam family: Bacterial small subunit ribosomal RNA (bases 1-520)
Source: RNAcentral